RNAcentral lists this ribosomal RNA (332 nucleotides) under uncultured eukaryote. RNAcentral's name for it is "partial 18S ribosomal RNA". It matches the Rfam family "Eukaryotic small subunit ribosomal RNA", at positions 1470 to 1796 of the family's 1831-position model. The record is from RNAcentral.
CCCUUAGAUGUUCUGGGCUGCACCCGUGCUACACUGGCAGGUUCAGCGAGCUUCAUGCCCUGAUCUGAAAGGAAUGGGAAAUCUUUUCAAAACCUGCCGUGCUUGGGAUAGAUGUUUGCAAUUAUUCAUCUUCAACGAGGAUUGCCUUGUAAGCGCACGUCAUCAGCGUGCAUUGAAUACGACCCUGUAUUCUGUACACACCGCCCGUCGCUCCUACCGAUUGAAGUUUUCGGUGAGUUGACAGGAGGAUUUUUUUGAAACUGGUUCGCCGGUGGAUUUUAGAUCCAAAUGCCAACGAAUCGAUGGCUUUAGAGGAAGGAGAAGUCGUAACA